ACUUUUAAAAUUGAGGUAAAAUUCUAUGUUUGUAAAGUCAGAGGCAUAAACUCUAAAUUCAUGACUAUAAAAAAGGAUUAGAUACCCUUCUAUACUUGAAAAUCAAACUUUAAGUAGUAAAAAGUAUAUUUUUGAAAUUUAAAGGGUUUGGCGGCUUUUAGGAUAACCAGGGGAGUUUGUGUUUUAAUCGACAAUACGCGUUAGACCUUACUUGAUUUGUGCUUGUAUACCGCCGUCUAAACGCUUUUGGCAGAGUAAAGUUACAGUUAUUAAUAUACUAACGUCAGGUCAUGGUGCAGCAUAGUCAAGAUAAUUACAAACUACAAUUUGCAGAUUAUUGGAAUCAAAAUUAAAAUUUUGAUGAAAUUGGACUUGAAAGUAAUUGCUUGUUAGAAUCUAGUAAUGAAUGCAAAACUAAAAGUGUACAUAUCGCCCGUCACUCU
RNAcentral lists this ribosomal RNA (443 nucleotides) under Tylos europaeus. RNAcentral's name for it is "partial 12S small subunit ribosomal RNA". The stretch from base 111 to 443 matches the Rfam family "Bacterial small subunit ribosomal RNA", at positions 874 to 1403 of the family's 1533-position model. The record is from RNAcentral. Lineage: Eukaryota; Metazoa; Arthropoda; Malacostraca; Isopoda; Tylidae.